AGCGGUCGACUAUAACCCCUAGCCUUCCAAGCUAACGACGCGGGUUCGAUUCCCGCUAUCCGCUU
RNAcentral lists this transfer RNA (65 nucleotides) under Labisia pumila. RNAcentral describes it as "tRNA-Ser". It matches the Rfam family "tRNA", at positions 14 to 71 of the family's 71-position model. Rfam says of the family: Transfer RNA (tRNA) molecules are approximately 80 nucleotides in length. The record is from RNAcentral. Lineage: Eukaryota; Viridiplantae; Streptophyta; Magnoliopsida; Ericales; Primulaceae.